GUUCUGUGGCGGAUAGAUCGGAUGUGGAGCGCAGCCUUCGGCGAGAAAGCCACCUCCAGUGACACGCUUGUAGGAAGCAGGGUCUAAUGAUGUUCGAUUUUGCAACCGAUGGUUUAAUUGUUCAAAUGGGAGCUUCAUAGGGGCAUAUUCUCAAUUCCAUUACCUUCUUAGAUUGUUGCUUUUUGGUUGAUGCAAUACUCAGUCUGGUGGUUUCCUUUUGUUUUUGAUGCAGAGGGUGGAUGUUUCAGAAUGGCGCAGAUAGGUUGAGCAGCAAUAUAUGUUUUUUAAGUCCUAGGUGAGCACUCAGGUUCUGUGAAUUUUCCCUUCACAGUACUGCAGUAUUUUCAUGCUUCAAGGAAAUAGAAAUAAUAUGGUUUCUCUCUCCCAGAUUGUUAAUACCGAGAAUGGAAUUGGAGAAGAGAUACUUUUGGUGUUGUCCUAUUACCUCUCGUGUCUGAUAGGUGACACAAAGUUAUCGGUUUAGUUGGCAAAACAAAAGAGUCCAGAUCAAUUGUGAGGAUAUGAUGAUUGGCAUACUUAGGCCUGAAUCUUGUAUCUACAUCUGCAAUGUAGUGUCUGUCGUGGUUCUAAGUCUGACAGUAGAAUGGGGGGUAGGUAUAGAGAGGCAAGAUCCUAGCUAUGGAGUAGUUGUACACACGAGUGUUUUACGAGUUCAGGCCCUUCUCGGAGGAAGUAAUAGCCCUACGUCUCGGAGCCCGGAGGCGGUCGACUGGUUUAUGUGUAUAUGAGUUACAGGGGUGUAAACCCUUCUACCAGUGGAGGGGGUGGCUUAUAUAGAGGACGCCAGGACCCCAGCCAACCCACGUAGCAGAGGGUUAAAGUACAUUAAGGCCGGGCGUUACUAGUAACGCCCUAUAUAAAAUGUCAUCAUGACCAUUAAGACUACUUAAUUACAGACCGUUU
RNAcentral lists this long non-coding RNA (924 nucleotides) under Triticum aestivum (bread wheat). RNAcentral describes it as "long non-coding RNA (TAES_LNC021865)". Lineage: Eukaryota; Viridiplantae; Streptophyta; Magnoliopsida; Poales; Poaceae. The record is from RNAcentral.